AACCCUGGCUGACAGUUGUGCACUCCUGGAUGGUGGAUUACCAAAAGUUUCCUGUUUGGGCCAGGAUUUCACCUGAUCAACAACGUUCUUUCUGGCCUUGAUCUCCUAGCAUAGCUCCUGGUUCCCAUCUGACAGCUGCCUACAGCUCUGCCUGGACAACAUGGCACUACAGAGAGAAUAGAUUCAGGUGCUUUCUGUUUCCAGAUAAAGUGUAAUACCACUGCCUGGAAUACCACUGCCUGCUAUUCCACCAACCCUGCUGAAAGACUACUUGGAUGUGUAAGAUCCUGUGAUGUAUUCAGAAACAUUGCAGCUUUUCAAGUGAAACAGACUCCUAUAAUAUCGCAGCAACUAAUCGCCAGGAGCCAUCCUCUGGAAUGUCCUUCGGAUCAACCACGGAGCAAGGUCAGAUGGUGGAAGAGCCCUGCUGAUCUCGCUCCCACCCAAAAAGUCAGGUAGCUCACCCAUUGUUCUCAACACCUGCUCCAGAUGAAUUUUUGCCCAGUACGUUGCUUCUGCAGUACAUCAGCAGACCACGCCGGCGCUUGUAAUAGCAUGAAACAUCCACCACCAGCAAGAUCAGGAAGAGGAUUACCAGCACAAUGGCCAAGAUGCUGCCUAUUCCCAAGCCCUUGUCCGGAGUCUCUGAAAGAGGAGGAAAAGAUCUGUUUGCAAAAGCCAAUGGGAAGGAAGCCACAAUGCCCAGGGCCUAUUCCUCAGCUCUGCAAAGAUGAUGGCAGCUUUUGAUUCUUGGACUAAACUCAGUCAAUGGAGUCUGGUGGCUGGAAUUUCGGCGGGGUUGUGAAUUCACUCUAGCUUCAUUCAAAACCCGUUAGAGCUCUGAAGGAGCUAUCCAAGGUGCUGGACCUGUUUUGAGGCUGGGGCUCAGCACCAUGGAUAGCUCUUUUUGGAACUCUUGGUGGUUCUGACUGAAACCCAGAAUGGAUUCGCAGCCCCACCAAAAUCUGAACUAUCAGCCUCUGUUGUCCUCAGUGGAUUUAUUUCAUUAUAUAUUGCACACAUAUCCACUUUCUACCUUCUAGGCUUCCCUUGAUCCAAAAGAACCUCCUGAAGCUUUCCACUUUAUUACACCCUGCCAAUGAAAUUGCAAGAGAGAGGCAUUUUGCCAAAUAUUUUUGCGGAAGGAGGAAUUGCCUGACAUUUUCUGCAGGAUAGCCUCACCAUAAGGAACUGUGUUGGGUCUUUCUUCUUUCUUCUAAGGUUUUAUGUUUUUUAUUUCUGCCAUGUCAAGCAACAGGACGGUCCCUGCAUUGACAGCCUGGCCACCAUUUUGUAUAUCCCACAAUCCCCUGGACAUAGCAUUGCUCCAUGGCAUUGUGGGGGGAAAUGGCAAUCGUCACACACAAAACAGUGGGGAAUAUUUGGGAAAAUAUUCAACAAAAUGACCCCUUUUUCAGUGUGGGGUUGAAAAAGGAAGUCCUCCAAACAUUUCUCCUCACCACUGCCCCACCCCACCCCCCAAACCAUCUGAAAAACUUCAGCCCAGAUUUAAAUAAAAUAAAUGGCUAACAUUGAGGGUACAGCUCUACCAGGGGCAUGCAACUUAGGGUCCUCCAGACAUUUUGGCCUACAACUUCCCUCAACCCUUGCCAAUAAGGCAAUGCCCACCCAGAUCCAUGCUAUCAGCUUAACUGCAAUGGCUUUUCCAAACUGUAGUUUGGAGAGGGAUGCUUAGAAUUGUCUAGAGAUUCCUAAACACACACACACACACACACACAGAGAGAAAGAGAGAGAGAGAGAAAACUACAGUUCCCAGGGUUCCUUGUUAACAUGACUUUAGAUCUGUAGUGUGGGCAACCUGACUCCUACCCAAUUACUGAAGCCUGGAUAUUUGUAGUUCACCUGUUUGAAGAGUAACUUUCUUCUCGGUGCUCCCCAGAUCAUUGGCAGCUUUUACCAGGAGUUCUGAAAUAUCCUCUUCUGAUGUUGGUGUGAAC
Elgaria multicarinata webbii is the source of this 1958-nucleotide long non-coding RNA. RefSeq lists it as uncharacterized. Lineage: Eukaryota; Metazoa; Chordata; Lepidosauria; Squamata; Anguidae. The transcript is spliced from 4 exons. The record is from RefSeq and is a predicted model, not a curated record.